GAGACAUCCUUAUGGGGCAAGACUUGCUUCAGUGGGGCUUUGGUGCUCACUGAAUCUGCCCCCUGAGUGUGUCCCU
This 76-nucleotide microRNA precursor is filed under the name Myotis lucifugus (little brown bat). RNAcentral describes it as "mir-9229 microRNA precursor family". It matches the Rfam family "mir-9229 microRNA precursor family". Lineage: Eukaryota; Metazoa; Chordata; Mammalia; Chiroptera; Vespertilionidae. The record is from Rfam by way of RNAcentral.